Molecule: long non-coding RNA, 2180 nt
Organism: Nothobranchius furzeri (turquoise killifish)
Lineage: Eukaryota; Metazoa; Chordata; Actinopteri; Cyprinodontiformes; Nothobranchiidae
Source: Ensembl
CCCGGAGGCACAGCUGGAGCUGCAGUGGUCCACGCACAGCAGAGGACUGUUACAGCUGCUGCUGCCCCUGCUGAAGUGGUGGCUAUGGCGACGGGUCAGGGUGUUCGAGCUGUAACCCCAGUGACUGCGUCUGCUGUGGUUUCUACUACUCUGAGCCCGGUGCAGUCACAGACCCGCCCACUGGUCCCUCAGGUCACUGCAGGUGCACAUCCUUAACGCUUCCCCAACACCUUUUUGUUUGUUUUUCCUUUACAUCGGACUCAUUUGGGUUUGUGCUUCUAGCCACAGGUAUGCCUCUGACACCAAAGUCUCUCACCCCGGCCCACCUGCAGAUACUCCGACAGCAGCAGCAGCUGCAGCAGCAGCAGGCCACGUCCUCUCAGAUCAAAGCUGUUGGCAAAACUCAGGUAAAUUAUAAACAAAACCCACGCCUUACAGCAUGUAAUCUGACAUGAAAAUUCUAAUCAAUAAACCGUUAAAUUAACCAGUUUGAAUUAUUUUUGCAGGAGUUGAUAAAAAUGCAGAAACAUAAGGUGCCGUUACAGCAUCAGCAGCAGUUGACUGCAGCCGUUGUCCCGGCCCAGGGACAACAAGUCCCGGUGACCCAGCAGACCGGCCAGGUGCAGCAUGCUCAGACCCGAGUUCCCCCCCAGGGACAGAUCCAGGCCCAGGCAGGACAGACAGCUCAGGUUACCCUGACUAAGCCUCCUGUCGUGUCCGUACCGACUGUGGUCUCUGGAGUGACCACGCUGCCAGGUAUUAGUGUGGCCAUCAGCCAGGCACAGAAGACAGGUGUGUUCAAAAUGGUCUUCCGCCUAAUGUGGAUCUUAUGUCUGUUAUGGAAGAGACAAACAUGAAGAGGUUGCGUCAUAGAUGGCAUAAUAAUAACAUUUAAAGGGUGAAAUAAGGACAUACUGUUAUGAUGGCUGUCCUAACGGUUUUCUGGUUGUCCUUCAGGUGCACCCAUGCAGACGCUGCCCUUCACCCAGAUGCAGGUCCCACAUCUGAUCACCAUGAAGAAACCCCAGCUGCAGGCAGCAUCUGCAGCUCCGCCGAAGGCAGGGCAGCCGCAACAGGGGCAGGCUGCUGUUCAGCAGAAGAUUGGCAGCCAGCAGGUAACCAUGCAGGCAGCCCAGUCGGCUCAGCAGCAGCAGCAGAAAGGGACCUAUACCACCACACCACACCAACAGGGGAUCAAGCCCCAGUUCUUCACUACAGCAUCCAUCUCCCAGGGCCAGAAAACCGCUGCUGCCCAACAAAUCCAGGUAGCACACCACUGACAGAAGCCAUUAUCGAAAACACCACCAUGCAUCUUUAUUCUGUGGAGUUGUGUGCUGGUGUGAGGUUUUCCUGUGUGCUGCUCCUCUCAGGUGGCUAAACUCCCACAGAUAGUGCCGCCAGCUGUGGCCAGUAUUCAGCAGAUUGUGUCUUCUCCUCAGCAGGUAAAAGCUUUGACAUGUCUGUUUCUCUGGUUCUGGAUCCUCCUCAGCAGCUCUUUGAGGAAGAACCAUGAAGCAGAUUAAAUCACAUCCACUUGGUUAAGCCUUUGGGCCCUAGGCCCCACACUUUAACUAGUAUAUUUCUGUAACCACAAAGUCUAUUUGAUUAGCCUGGCAAGCCAUCUUAUAAAUGUGAAUAUACAGUCCGGCCACGGUCCUUUGACGACUUUUAGUCGUGGGGCGGGAUCUACGGUUGUAUUUCAAUCUGUCCCCACAUGCUGUUGGAUAACAGACAACAUGACGUACUCACCGCUGCGAUGUCAGUCAAUGAUGCAGACCGCCACACCCCGUCAAAGAAGACACAAAUACAGGUCCUUCUCAAAAAUUAGCAUAUUGUGAUGAAGUUCAUUAUUUUCUGUAAUGUACUGAUAAACAUUAGACUUUCAUAGAUAUUAGAUUCAUUACACACAACUGAAGUAGUUCAAGCCUUUUAUUGUUUCAAAUAUUGAUGAUUUUUGCAUACAGCCAUCGACAUAUAAAUAUUGGACAAUGGGUUUCCAUAGACUCCAAUAACACGUUUUUGAGACCAAAUGGGAGGUGGCCACCACCGCCAUUUUGACCGUGUCACAGGUUCCGUCAAGCCCAGACAAUUCCACAAAAGGGAAGAGAGGAGGAGCUGAGGGUGGGGCUGUAAGGCUGGGAUCAACUGACGACACCCGGUCGAACUAGCUACAAGCUAAC